RNAcentral lists this ribosomal RNA (427 nucleotides) under uncultured bacterium. RNAcentral describes it as "bacterial SSU rRNA". It matches the Rfam family "Bacterial small subunit ribosomal RNA", at positions 355 to 775 of the family's 1533-position model. The record is from RNAcentral.
UCGAGAAUUUUUCUCAAUGGGGGCAACCCUGAAGGAGCGACGCCGCGUGGAGGAUGAAGGUUUUCGGAUUGUAAACUCCUGUCAUUGGUGAACAAGAGUCCCCGUUAACUGCGGGAGGCUUUGCUAGUAGCCGAAGAGGAAGGGACGGCUAACUCUGUGCCAGCAGCCGCGGUAAUACAGAGGUCCCGAGCGUUGUUCGGAUUCAUUGGGCGUAAAGGGUGCGUAGGCGGCGGGGUAAGUCUGAUGUGAAAUCCUGGGGCUCAACCCCAGAACUGCAUUGGAUACUGCCUUGCUAGAGUACUGGAGAGGAAACUGGAAUUUACGGUGUAGCAGUGAAAUGCGUAGAGAUCGUAAGGAAGACCAGUGGCGAAGGCGAGUUUCUGGACAGUAACUGACGCUGAGGCACGAAGGCCAGGGGAGCAAACGG